UGAGGAAUAUUGGUCAAUGGGCGAGAGCCUGAACCAGCCAAGUAGCGUGAAGGAUGACUGCCCUAUGGGUUGUAAACUUCUUUUAUAAAGGAAUAAAGUCGGGUAUGUAUACCCGUUUGCAUGUACUUUAUGAAUAAGGAUCGGCUAACUCCGUGCCAGCAGCCGCGGUAAUACGGAGGAUCCGAGCGUUAUCCGGAUUUAUUGGGUUUAAAGGGAGCGUAGAUGGAUGUUUAAGUCAGUUGUGAAAGUUUGCGGCUCAACCGUAAAAUUGCAGUUGAUACUGGAUAUCUUGAGUGCAGUUGAGGCAGGCGGAAUUCGUGGUGUAGCGGUGAAAUGCUUAGAUAUCACGAAGAACUCCGAUUGCGAAGGCAG
This 372-nucleotide ribosomal RNA is filed under the name uncultured Bacteroides sp. Its description in RNAcentral is "bacterial SSU rRNA". It matches the Rfam family "Bacterial small subunit ribosomal RNA", at positions 355 to 724 of the family's 1533-position model. The record is from RNAcentral. Lineage: Bacteria; Pseudomonadati; Bacteroidota; Bacteroidia; Bacteroidales; Bacteroidaceae.